Molecule: unclassified non-coding RNA, 1830 nt
Filed under: Hevea brasiliensis (rubber tree)
Lineage: Eukaryota; Viridiplantae; Streptophyta; Magnoliopsida; Malpighiales; Euphorbiaceae
Source: RNAcentral
CCUGUGAACAGUGAAAAUUUUAUAUACUUGUAAAGAUUUGGUAGGACGACGCAAGGCUGCUGUUUUCAUCAAUGUAUCUCUCAAAAUCAAUGGAAGAGCAAGACGAAAAGGAAAACAUAAUAUCUAGAUUAGAAUUAAAGAAUUUGUAUCUGGUCCUUAACAGCCAAAUAUAACUGUGAAAGCUAAACAACAUAAUGCAAGUAAGCAAUCUAAAAGUGGAAAAAAAAUAUUAGACUGAAAAGAACAAGACUACAUUUCCAGAAAAACACUGUUUAUAAUCAUAAAAUGCCACGCAAAUAGAGAGAAUAUACUCAAAGAAGUUACUGCCACGCAAAUAGAGAGAAUAUACUCAAAGAAGUUACUCUGCAUGAAGAGAGACUUCAAAGUAUUUACAAGUUCUACACACCACAUAAUUUUCCACAAUGUACUCAAAGACAUCACUUUCUGAACCAUGGAAAGCAGCAACUCUGAAAAUUGGAAAAAGAUAUUAGGAAAUUAUAUAUAAAUGAUAAGAUAAUCCACGAGUAUGCAAACCAGUGCACUUGGUAAUAGACUGAGAGUGAUGGCAUACCUUGGAGCUGUUGCUGGGGGUUUCCUUACGAGUGUUGCUCAUGGAUGACUCAGUAGGCAUGCCAGGCACUUUACCUGCCUCAAUUUGCCUUUCCUCCCUCACUUUGUUGAAAAUGUGAGUAUAGCCAUCAGCUGAUGCGGGGUUAUUCUCAUCCCACUCACCAAAUUUAGGAACAGCAGCACCCUUAUCAGGACUUUCAUCGCCUUUUGGUUUCAAUCGGGAUCUUCCGGGAGUACCAUGGCUACCCUCAUAUGAACCUUUUCCUUCCCAGGCAGGAGAUGGAGCCCCGCUACCUCUCCCUGAAAUCUUGGCCUUAUGAUGCAGUGGGGAUUGCUCCAUGCUGUUAUCAGAACCAAUGCUUUGUGCACUUGGUCUUCCAGUCCGUCUUUGGUUUUCACCAUAGCUUACUCCACGACCACCAUAACGCUGGGGUGCUAGCUCAUUGCUAGCUCUACGAUUCAUGUUGUCAUGGCGUGCUGGAGAGUCAGUAAACCGUCUGAGGUCACCAUCUUCUCUGCUCCUGCGACGCUCGUGUGCCCGUCUAACAGCUCCCUGCCCUGUUGGUUCCUCUGAUACAACUCCACCUCCAGAAGAGGGAGCUUGAGCUGAAGCUUCAAAAUCUGAGCCUAAAUCAGGAUUCUCUUGGGGAUCAUUUGGAUUUAUCAUCUUCCCUUCACCUCGACCCUUUCGAGCCUUUUCAAAGUAGGCUGUGUAAGGAACAUUCUCUUCACUUUCCCAAUUGCCAAACUUUGGCACGUGCGAAUGUUGAGCCAUUUCCCUUUCCACCAAGGUUGGAAGGAAACCCAGAAAGCAAAGAAUAAUCGUUUAACCAAAAUUCAGCUUUUCCUCCGACAAUAGAAGCUCAAAUCUCCACCAAAGAACCCUUCAACGACCCAGUAAGAAAAAGAGAGAACUUUACCCACACGGAGAGAAGAGGGAGAGAAAAAUCUUUUAAAGAGAGUCCAGAGAGACUUUUUGACAGAGAAAGAGCUUGUUUAUAGAGAGGUUUAUCAACCAUUGACGGGAGCCAUGGUAAAGUUUGACCAUUCUCUUUCCGCGCUCUCUCUCUCUCUCUCUGUAAAAUCGCAAUUGCGUGGGACAACAUUCAACGUCUUGAUUAAAGGUAAUUAUGUAAGAUACUUAUCCACAAGCAAAAUUAAAUCCAAAAUUUCAAAAAAAGAAGAUUUAUCAUAAUAAGAAUGAUGAUGAUAAGAGAUUGAAAAAGGAAUUACUGACCUGGUUAAGAUAAUUAUACAGAG